AUGGACCGUGUGGAUAGCUCGAGCACGUCUCGUGGAAGAGGCAAGAAUAAAAGGAAUUGGUCUUCCGAUGAGGACGAUGAGCUUAUUAAAGCUUUGUAUGAGUUAUCUUUGGACCCGAGGUGGAAAGCUGAUGGUGCCUUCAAGGGUGGAUACCUGGGGAUAUUGGAAAAGCAUCUUGCUGAAAAGUGUCCAGGCCGUGGUAUCACUGCAUCUCCGCACAUUGAAUCAAGAGUGAGGCACUUCAGGAAGAAAUUUGGUGCCGUUGAAGUAAUGCUAUCCAAAAGUGGUUUCACAUGGGAUGGAAGUCGAAAGAUGAUUCAGUGCGAGAAGGCACAAUAUGAAGCUCAUUGUCAGAUUCACAAGGAGGCUAAGGGAUUGUAUGGUGUAUCAUUUCCAUACUUUGAACAAUUGGCUGCUAUCUAUGGCAAAGACAUUGCAACAGGAGAAAGUGCGGAAGGCUUUGGAGAGGCAGUGGGAAACUUGGAGAAGGAAAUUGCUAUGGAGGAAGAAGAAAAUGAGGAAGAGGACAUGAUCUCAACAGGAACAGCUCGACGGUCCAUUGACACUUGCUCUAUUGAUACAACUAGUUCGAAGAGGCAGAAAAAGGAGCCAAGGCCAAAGAGGGCGACGGGACCAAGCGAUCCAUUUGCAGCCAUGCUUCAAGAUGUUAAUAGCCAGCUGAACAGCGUGACACAACAUGUGGGUGCAAUGACAACAUCAUUUACAGCAGCAAUGGCGCGAGAAGCAGCACAAGAAGACCCUCAACAGAAAUCAAGAGAAAAUGCAAUUAGUGAAUUGUCUAGGCUUGCAUUUACUGGGAGCGAGAUCGUUGAAGCUGCAACUAUAUUCGCUAAAGCUCCAGAGCACAUGAACAUGAUGCUUGUGCUUCCAGGCAUUCUGAGGAGGGACUUCGUCCUGAAAAUGCUGUCCGAUGAAAGAAAGAAGCAAGGUUGA
RNAcentral lists this ribosomal RNA (954 nucleotides) under Triticum aestivum (bread wheat). RNAcentral describes it as "partial small subunit ribosomal RNA". Lineage: Eukaryota; Viridiplantae; Streptophyta; Magnoliopsida; Poales; Poaceae. The record is from RNAcentral.